This 490-nucleotide ribosomal RNA is filed under the name uncultured bacterium. RNAcentral describes it as "partial 16S ribosomal RNA". It matches the Rfam family "Bacterial small subunit ribosomal RNA", at positions 29 to 507 of the family's 1533-position model. The record is from RNAcentral.
GUGAACGCUGGCGGUAGGCCUAACACAUGCAAGUCGAACGGCAGCACAGUAAGAGCUUGCUCUUACGGGUGGCGAGUGGCGGACGGGUGAGGAAUACAUCGGAAUCUACUUUUUCGUGGGGGAUAACGUAGGGAAACUUACGCUAAUACCGCAUACGACCUACGGGUGAAAGCAGGGGAUCUUCGACCUUGCGCGAUUGAAUGAGCCGAUGUCGGAUUAGCUAGUUGGCGGGGUAAGGGCCCACCAAGGCGACGAUCCGUAGCUGGUCUGAGAGGAUGAUCAGCCACACUGGAACUGAGACACGGUCCAGACUCCUACGGGAGGCAGCAGUGGGGAAUAUUGGACAAUGGGCGCAAGCCUGAUCCAGCCAUACCGCGUGGGUGAAGAAGGCCUUCGGGUUGUAAAGCCCUUUUGUUGGGAAAGAAAAGCAGCAGGUUAAUACCCCGCUGUUCUGACGGUACCCAAAGAAUAAGCACCGGCUAACUUCAUG